This 440-nucleotide ribosomal RNA is filed under the name uncultured bacterium. RNAcentral's name for it is "partial 16S ribosomal RNA". It matches the Rfam family "Bacterial small subunit ribosomal RNA", at positions 338 to 795 of the family's 1533-position model. The record is from RNAcentral.
CCUACGGGUGGCAGCAGUAGGGAAUAUUGCUCAAUGGGCGAAAGCCUGAAGCAGCAACGCCGCGUGAAGGAUGAAUGCUUUGGGGUUGAUAAAUCUUUUUGUUAGAGCAAAAAAUGACGGUACCUAAAGAAUAAGCAACGGCUAACUCCGUGCCAGCAGCCGCGGUAAUACGGAGGGUGCAAGCGUUAUCCGGAACCACUGGGCGUAAAGAGCGCGUAGGCGGGAUAGAAAGUCAGUUGUGAAAUGCUUAGGCUUAACCUUAGAACUGCAGUUGAAACUGGUAGUCUAGAGUAUGGUAGAGGUAGGGGGAAUUCGUGGUGUAGCGGUGAAAUCCUUAGAGAUCAAGAGGAAUACUGAUUGCGAAGGCGAUUUACUAGAACAUAACUGACGCUGAGGCGCGAAAGCGUGGGGAGCAAACAGGAUUAGAUACCCUUGUAGUC